CUAAAAACCCAAUACUACUAAUACUAAAUAUUGGAAAUUUAAAGGGCAUAUUGGUCCAGAUGGCAUAAAGUAUAACAGAGUUCACUUCCCCGCCACUCAUACAAAAUUAACAAUGGCUUCGAAGCUCGUAGCUCCUCCUUCUUAUCUCUCCCGCUCCACCAAGCUCUUCUCCUUCUCUUCCACCUCCAAAGGACCUAAACUCGUUUCCUUCCCGACCUAUUGGAGGUCCAAACGAAGCUCCUGCUCCCGGAGAAUGGCUGCGAAAUCUUGUCUCAAAGUGGAGGAGAAGAGUUCCCAAAACUCCGCCCGAAGUGAGUGGGGGAAAGUCUCUGCGGUGCUUUUCGACAUGGAUGGAGUGCUAUGCAAUAGUGAAGACCUUUCGAGGAGGACUGGAGUCGACGUUUUCGCCGAGAUGGGUGUUAAAGUCACAGUGGAGGACUUUGUGCCUUUCAUGGGGACUGGUGAGGCCAACUUCUUGGGAGGUGUUGCGUCUGUUAAGGGAGUGAAAGGAUUUGAUCCUGAGGCCGCCAAGAAGAGAUUCUUUGAGAUAUAUUUGGAAAAGUAUGCAAAGCCAAAUUCCGGAAUUGGAUUUCCAGGAGCUCUUGAACUCAUUACUCAGUGUAAAAGCAAAGGCCUUAAAGUUGCUGUAGCAUCUAGUGCUGAUCGAAUCAAGGUUGACGCAAAUCUAGAAGCUGCUGCCUUGCCAUUAUCACUGUUUGAUGCCAUUGUGUCAGCAGAUGCUUUUGAAAAUCUGAAACCUGCGCCUGAUAUUUUCUUAGCAGCAUCAAAGAUCUUGAGUGUACCCACUAGCGAGUGCAUUGUUAUUGAAGAUGCACUUGCUGGAGUGCAAGCUGCCAAAGCUGCUGGAAUGAGAUGCAUAGCUGUCAAAACUACCUUAGCAGAAGAGACUUUAAAGACUGCUGGUCCAUCACUUAUACGAAAUGAGAUAGGAAAUGUUUCACUUGAUGAUAUUCUCAGUGGUGGCUCUGAUGACUAUAAUGAGACGAUGCAGGAAAGCCAAGUUCUUCAGACACCAUCCCAAAAUUCCUCAGGCCUGGUUAAAGAGAAGAUUGAAAAUGGGCCAAUCCAACAAGAGAAGUCUGAUAAUGGGGAUUCCUUAAAUGGAGGGUUGCAGGGUUCUCGGCGAGAUAUAAUAAGAUAUGGAAGUUUGGGGAUUUCUCUUUUUUGCCUUGCUUUCGCCAUCUCAAACUGGAAGGCAAUGCAGUAUGCAUCACCAAAAGCUAUUUGGAAUGCAUUGUUUGGUGCGACUCAACCAUCUUUUGGGCAAAAUGAAGGAAAAUCAAGAACUAAAAGAAUCCAACAACUUGUGAAAUAUGUAGCUGACUUAGAAACCAGUGGAACUGCUCCUAUGGUGCCAGAAUUUCCACCAAGACUGGACUGGUUGAAUACAGCUCCCCUGAAGUUUAGCCAGGAGUUGAAAGGAAAAGUGGUUGUGCUUGACUUCUGGACUUAUUGUUGCAUAAAUUGUAUACAUGUGCUUCCAGAUCUGGAGUUUUUAGAGAACAAAUACAAAGAUAUGCCGUUCACAGUUGUGGGAGUCCACUCAGCAAAGUUUGAUAAUGAGAAAGAUUUAGAAGCCAUUCGCAAUGCAGUGUUACGUUAUGGCAUUAAUCAUCCAGUUGUGAAUGAUGGAGAGAUGCGGCUAUGGCGUGAACUAGGUGUGAGUUCAUGGCCAACGUUCGCUGUCGUUGGCCCAGAUGGUAAACUCAUUGCACAACUAUCAGGUGAAGGUCGUCGAAAGGAUCUUGACGAUAUUGUGGAGGCAGCUCUUCAGUACUAUGGUGGAAAGAAAAUCUUAAACAGCACUCCUUUACCAUUAAGUUUAGAAAAAGAUAACGAUCCUCGUUUGCUUACAUCUCCAUUGAAGUUUCCGGGGAAGCUGGCAAUAGAUGUCCUCAACAAUAGGCUCUUCAUCUCUGAUAGUAACCACAACCGCAUAGUUGUGACUGAUCUCAGGGGAAACUUUAUUGUCCAAAUUGGAAGCACAGGGGAGGAAGGUUUACGUGAUGGUACCUUUGAUGAUGCUGUCUUCAAUCGGCCGCAGGGCCUUGCGUACAAUCCAAAGAAAAAUUUACUUUAUGUAGCAGAUACUGAAAAUCAUGCUUUAAGGGAGAUUGAUUUUGUUAAUGAGACAGUGCGUACUCUAGCUGGUAAUGGAACAAAGGGUUCUGACUAUAAAGGAGGAGGAAAUGGAAGCACACAGCUCCUGAACUCCCCCUGGGAUGUUUGCUUUGAGCCCGUCAAUGAGAAAGUUUACAUUGCUAUGGCUGGCCAACAUCAGAUCUGGGUGCACAAUACAUUGGACGGGAGUACCAAAACAUUCAGUGGUGAUGGUUACGAAAGAAACUUAAAUGGCCCCAGCUCAACCACCACAUCAUUUGCACAGCCUUCUGGAAUUUCGUUAUCUAAUGACUUUUCAGAGGCAUAUAUUGCUGAUAGUGAGAGUAGCUCAAUUCGAGCACUUGAUCUGAAGACUGGAGGAUCGAAAUUGUUAGCUGGUGGUGAUCCCUUUUUCUCAGACAAUUUGUUUAAGUUUGGAGACCAUGAUGGAGUAGGGGCUGAAGUACUCCUUCAACAUCCAUUGGGUGUCAUUUGCGCAAAAGAUGGUCAAAUUUAUAUAGCAGAUAGCUACAACCACAAGAUCAAGAAGCUAGAUCUUGCCAGUAAAAGAGUUACUACCAUAGCAGGUACAGGGAAAGCUGGUUUCAAGGAUGGAACAGCCCUAGAAGCUCAGCUUUCAGAGCCGUCAGGAAUCAUUGAAGUAGAAAAUGGAAGACUGCUUAUUGCUGAUACAAAUAACAGCAUAAUAAGAUAUCUGGACUUAAACAAGGAAGUACCUGAACUUCUAACUUUAGAGCUGAAAGGUGUUCAGCCUCCUAAUAAAAAAUCUAAAUUGCCAAAGCGGCUUAGGAGACGAGCACCAUCAGAUGCACAAAUUAUUAAAGUUGAUGGUAGUUUAUCCAGCGAAGGAAACUUACUCAUUAAAAUAUCAUUGCCUGAAGAAUAUCACUUUUCAAAGGAGGCUCGCAGUAAAUUUAGUGUUGAUGUUGAGCCUGAAAAUGCGUUGACUAUUGAUCCUUUGGAUGGAUACCUUAGUCCAGAAGGAUCUGCAACAAUUCAUUUUAAGAGAUCUUCAUCAUCAGCUUCGAUGGGAAAAAUAAAUUGCAAGGUUUACUAUUGCAAAGAAGAUGAGGUCUGUUUAUACCAAUCGCUGUCGUUUGAAGUACCCUUCCUUGAGAAAGUUGGGGAGUCUAGCACAGCUGAAAUCAUACUUCCAUUUCUUGUUAAGCCAAAAACUUCAGCAAGCAGCUUACAGUUACCUGCAGUUGCCCCUUAAGAUUGAUCCUUGUGUAAAUGGUAAGAUCUGCUCUUUGGAGUAACAGGCCUUUACAAGAAUACAAGGUGCCAAUCAGUUUUUCUUUUUCUAUUAAUGUACAACAGAGUACCACCCACUCUUUGCAUCCUAAGCCAUUGUAUGGGACUCAAAUCUUUUGAGAAAGCUGUUAACAAAAUCAUGUGAGAAUGAAAGGUGGGCAUUUAUUUUAAGAAAUAUUGUAAGCUUUAAACACAUUGAUUAUUGUAGUAUAUUGUAUUAUACUUAGAUUAGGGCUUUGUAAAGCGCGUUUGUUUCACCAAAUCCCAUGUCUAUCUUCUAUCCUAAACAUGGUCUUUACAAUAAUUUAAUGAUAUGGAUUUGUGGUA
RNA transcript from Cannabis sativa, 3723 nucleotides. It is a transcript of the gene named protein SUPPRESSOR OF QUENCHING 1, chloroplastic, with no coding region annotated. Lineage: Eukaryota; Viridiplantae; Streptophyta; Magnoliopsida; Rosales; Cannabaceae. The transcript is spliced from 30 exons. The record is from RefSeq and is a predicted model, not a curated record.